This 253-nucleotide ribosomal RNA is filed under the name uncultured bacterium. Its description in RNAcentral is "partial 16S ribosomal RNA". It matches the Rfam family "Bacterial small subunit ribosomal RNA", at positions 524 to 776 of the family's 1533-position model. The record is from RNAcentral.
UACGGAGGGUGCAAGCGUUGUCCGGAAUCACUGGGCGUAAAGGGCGCGUAGGCGGCUCAUGAAGGCUGUGGUGAAAGUCCGAGGCUCAACCUCGGAUCGGCCGUGGCGACUCGUGGGCUGGAGCACUGUAGAGGCGGGUGGAAUUCCGGGUGUAGCGGUGGAAUGCGUAGAGAUCCGGAAGAACACCAGUGGCGAAGGCGGCCCGCUGGGCAGUGGCUGACGCUGAAGCGCGACAGCGUGGGGAGCAAACAGG